AUUGAACGCUGGCGGAAUGCUUUACACAUGCAAGUCGAACGGCAGCACGGGGGCAACCCUGGUGGCGAGUGGCGAACGGGUGAGUAAUACAUCGGAACGUGCCCGGUCGUGGGGGAUAACGUAGCGAAAGUUACGCUAAUACCGCAUACGAUCUGAGGAUGAAAGCGGGGGACCUUCGGGCCUCGCGCGAUCGGAGCGGCCGAUGUCAGAUUAGGUAGUUGGUGGGGUAAAGGCCUACCAAGCCGACGAUCUGUAGCUGGUCUGAGAGGACGACCAGCCACACUGGGACUGAGACACGGCCCAGACUCCUACGGGAGGCAGCAGUGGGGAAUUUUGGAGAAUGGGCGCAAUCCUGAUCCAGCCAUUCCGCGUGCAGGACGAAGGCCUUCGGGUUGUAAACUGCUUUUGUAUGGAACGAAAAGGCUCUGGCUAAUACCUGGGGCUCAUGACGGUACCGUAAGAAUAAGCACCGGCUAACUACGUG
This 484-nucleotide ribosomal RNA is filed under the name uncultured bacterium. RNAcentral's name for it is "partial 16S ribosomal RNA". It matches the Rfam family "Bacterial small subunit ribosomal RNA", at positions 30 to 507 of the family's 1533-position model. The record is from RNAcentral.